Small nucleolar RNA from Bufo bufo (common toad), 71 nucleotides. NCBI's taxonomy places the organism in Eukaryota, Metazoa, Chordata, Amphibia, Anura, Bufonidae. The record is from RefSeq and is a predicted model, not a curated record.
CAAUGAUGAGAUUAACCUUUAAAUAGCUGGAAUUACCGGCAGACUGCAGGUGGUGAGACUGGUCUCUGAGG